This 72-nucleotide transfer RNA is filed under the name Ovis aries (sheep). It matches the Rfam family "tRNA". Rfam says of the family: Transfer RNA (tRNA) molecules are approximately 80 nucleotides in length. Their secondary structure includes four short double-helical elements and three loops (D, anti-codon, and T loops). The record is from Rfam by way of RNAcentral. Lineage: Eukaryota; Metazoa; Chordata; Mammalia; Artiodactyla; Bovidae.
UCCCUGAUAGCUCAGUUGUUAAAGAAUCUGCCUGCAAUUCAGGAGACCUGGGUUCGAUUCCUGGGUUGGGAA